GACGAACGCUGGCGGCGUGCUUAACACAUGCAAGUCGAACGGAAAGGCCCCUUUGGGGGUACUCGAGUGGCGCACGGGUGAGUAACACGUGAGUAACCUGCCCUUGCCUUCGGGAUAACUUCAGGAAACUGGGGCUAAUACCGGAUAGGAAUCCUUGCUGCAUGGUGGGGGUUGGAAAGCUUCGGCGGUUUUGGAUGGACUCGCGGCUUAUCAGCUUGUUGGUGGGGUAGUGGCUUACCAAGGCUUUGACGGGUAGCCGGCCUGAGAGGGCGACCGGCCACAUUGGGACUGAGAUACGGCCCAGGAUCCUACGGGAGGCAGGAGUGGGGAAUAUUGCACAAUGGGCGGAAGGCUGAUGCAGCAACGCCGCGUGCGGGAUGACGGCCUUCGGGUUGGAAACCGCUUUCAGCAGGGGCGAAGCUUGUGGUGACGGUACCUGCAGAAGAAGCACCGGCUAACUACGUG
This 465-nucleotide ribosomal RNA is filed under the name uncultured bacterium. RNAcentral's name for it is "partial 16S ribosomal RNA". It matches the Rfam family "Bacterial small subunit ribosomal RNA", at positions 28 to 507 of the family's 1533-position model. The record is from RNAcentral.